This 497-nucleotide ribosomal RNA is filed under the name uncultured bacterium. RNAcentral describes it as "partial 16S ribosomal RNA". It matches the Rfam family "Bacterial small subunit ribosomal RNA", at positions 28 to 507 of the family's 1533-position model. The record is from RNAcentral.
GAUGAACGCUGGCGGCGUGCCUAAUACAUGCAAGUCGAGCGAACGGACGAGAAGCUUGCUUCUCUGAUGUUAGCGGCGGACGGGUGAGUAACACGUGGAUAACCUACCUAUAAGACUGGGAUAACUUCGGGAAACCGUAGCUAAUACCGGUUAAUAUUUUGAACCGCAUGGUUCAAAAGUGAAAGACGGUCUUGCUGUCACUUAUAGAUGGAUCCGCGCUGCAUUAGCUAGUUGGUAAGGUAACGGCUUACCAAGGCAACGAUGCAUAGCCGACCUGAGAGGGUGAUCGGCCACACUGGAACUGAGACACGGUCCAGACUCCUACGGGAGGCAGCAGUGGGGAAUCUUCCGCAAUGGGCGAAAGCCUGACGGAGCAACGCCGCGUGAGUGAUGAAGGUCUUCGGAUCGUAAAACUCUGUUAUUAGGGAAGAACAGAUGUGUAAGUAACUGUGCACAUCUUGACGGUACCUAAACAGAAAGCCACGGCUAACUACGUG